UUCAUCAAAGCAUAGAGUGCAAUGACCCCUGUGCAUGCAGAGCCUGUGUGUGUCCCCUGCCGGUCUGCGAAAUGAUAGAAGCAGACUUUCAGUUACGCAAGAUGGCUUCAGCAGCAGAAGUCUGUUCAGCAAUGAGCCUGGUUCUACUCAAGGUUCCGGCCUAUUACAAAGGAAAUUUUUCCAAACCCACUGUUGCAAAGUGUUGCCAUGGACAUUCUGGAGCUGUUCUUUUUAUAAAGCCCGCUGAGAUAUCUUCUGUAUUGAUUUUGAACUAUAUAAAUAAAGAUUGAUUGAAUUUUC
Long non-coding RNA from Notolabrus celidotus (New Zealand spotty), 300 nucleotides. RefSeq lists it as uncharacterized. The record is from RefSeq and is a predicted model, not a curated record. Lineage: Eukaryota; Metazoa; Chordata; Actinopteri; Labriformes; Labridae. The transcript is spliced from 2 exons.